This 523-nucleotide ribosomal RNA is filed under the name Escherichia coli. Its description in RNAcentral is "partial 23S ribosomal RNA". It matches the Rfam family "Bacterial large subunit ribosomal RNA", at positions 1273 to 1796 of the family's 2925-position model. Lineage: Bacteria; Pseudomonadati; Pseudomonadota; Gammaproteobacteria; Enterobacterales; Enterobacteriaceae. The record is from RNAcentral.
CUGGAGGUAUCAGAAGUGCGAAUGCUGACAUAAGUAACGAUAAAGCGGGUGAAAAGCCCGCUCGCCGGAAGACCAAGGGUUCCUGUCCAACGUUAAUCGGGGCAGGGUGAGUCGACCCCUAAGGCGAGGCCGAAAGGCGUAGUCGAUGGGAAACAGGUUAAUAUUCCUGUACUUGGUGUUACUGCGAAGGGGGGACGGAGAAGGCUAUGUUGGCCGGGCGACGGUUGUCCCGGUUUAAGCGUGUAGGCUGGUUUUCCAGGCAAAUCCGGAAAAUCAAGGCUGAGGCGUGAUGACGAGGCACUACGGUGCUGAAGCAACAAAUGCCCUGCUUCCAGGAAAAGCCUCUAAGCAUCAGGUAACAUCAAAUCGUACCCCAAACCGACACAGGUGGUCAGGUAGAGAAUACCAAGGCGCUUGAGAGAACUCGGGUGAAGGAACUAGGCAAAAUGGUGCCGUAACUUCGGGAGAAGGCACGCUGAUAUGUAGGUGAAGCGACUUGCUCGUGGAGCUGAAAUCAGUCGAA